GGACUACCCGGGUAUCUAAUCCUGUUCGCUCCCCACGCUUUCGCUCCUCAGCGUCAGGUAAGGCCCAGAGAACCGCCUUCGCCACCGGUGUUCCUCCCGAUAUCUGCGCAUUUCACCGCUACACCGGGAAUUCCAUUCUCCCCUACCUACCUCUAGUCCGCCCGUAUCCACUGCAAGCCCGGGGUUAAGCCCCGGGAUUUCACAACAGACGCGACGGACCGCCUACGAGCUCUUUACGCCCAAUAAUUCCGGACAACGCUUGCGCCCUACGUAUUACCGCGGCUGCUGGCAC
RNAcentral lists this ribosomal RNA (292 nucleotides) under uncultured bacterium. RNAcentral describes it as "partial 16S ribosomal RNA". The record is from RNAcentral.